UGAAACAUCUUCGGGUUGUGAGGUUAAGCGACUAAGCGUACACGGUGGAUGCCCUGGCAGUCAGAGGCGAUGAAGGACGUGCUAAUCUGCGAUAAGCGUCGGUAAGGUGAUAUGAACCGUUAUAACCGGCGAUUUCCGAAUGGGGAAACCCAGUGUGAUUCGUCACACUAUCAUUAACUGAAUCCAUAGGUUAAUGAGGCGAACCGGGGGAACUGAAACAUCUAAGUACCCCGAGGAAAAGAAAUCAACCGAGAUUCCCCCAGUAGCGGCGAGCGAACGGGGAGGAGCCCAGAGCCUGAAUCAGUGUGUGUGUUAGUGGAAGCGUCUGGAAAGGCGCGCGAUACAGGGUGACAGCCCCGUACACAAAAAUACACAUAUUGUGAGCUCGAUGAGUAGGGCGGGACACGUGGUAUCCUGUCUGAAUAUGGGGGGACCAUCCUCCAAGGCUAAAUACUCCUGACUGACCGAUAGUGAACCAGUACCGUGAGGGAAAGGCGAAAAGAACCCCGGCGAGGGGAGUGAAAAAGAACCUGAAACCGUGUACGUACAAGCAGUGGGAGCACGCUUAGGCGUGUGACUGCGUACCUUUUGUAUAAUGGGUCAGCGACUUAUAUUCUGUAGCAAGGUUAACCGAAUAGGGGAGCCGAAGGGAAACCGAGUCUUAACUGGGCGUUAAGUUGCAGGGUAUAGACCCGAAACCCGGUGAUCUAGCCAUGGGCAGGUUGAAGGUUGGGUAACACUAACUGGAGGACCGAACCGACUAAUGUUGAAAAAUUAGCGGAUGACUUGUGGCUGGGGGUGAAAGGCCAAUCAAACCGGGAGAUAGCUGGUUCUCCCCGAAAGCUAUUUAGGUAGCGCCUCGUGAAUUCAUCUCCGGGGGUAGAGCACUGUUUCGGCAAGGGGGUCAUCCCGACUUACCAACCCGAUGCAAACUGCGAAUACCGGAGAAUGUUAUCACGGGAGACACACGGCGGGUGCUAACGUCCGUCGUGAAGAGGGAAACAACCCAGACCGCCAGCUAAGGUCCCAAAGUCAUGGUUAAGUGGGAAACGAUGUGGGAAGGCCCAGACAGCCAGGAUGUUGGCUUAGAAGCAGCCAUCAUUUAAAGAAAGCGUAAUAGCUCACUGGUCGAGUCGGCCUGCGCGGAAGAUGUAACGGGGCUAAACCAUGCACCGAAGCUGCGGCAGCGACGCUUAUGCGUUGUUGGGUAGGGGAGCGUUCUGUAAGCCUGUGAAGGUGUGCUGUGAGGCAUGCUGGAGGUAUCAGAAGUGCGAAUGCUGACAUAAGUAACGAUAAAGCGGGUGAAAAGCCCGCUCGCCGGAAGACCAAGGGUUCCUGUCCAACGUUAAUCGGGGCAGGGUGAGUCGACCCCUAAGGCGAGGCCGAAAGGCGUAGUCGAUGGGAAACAGGUUAAUAUUCCUGUACUUGGUGUUACUGCGAAGGGGGGACGGAGAAGGCUAUGUUGGCCGGGCGACGGUUGUCCCGGUUUAAGCGUGUAGGCUGGUUUUCCAGGCAAAUCCGGAAAAUCAAGGCUGAGGCGUGAUGACGAGGCACUACGGUGCUGAAGCAACAAAUGCCCUGCUUCCAGGAAAAGCCUCUAAGCAUCAGGUAACAUCAAAUCGUACCCCAAACCGACACAGGUGGUCAGGUAGAGAAUACCAAGGCGCUUGAGAGAACUCGGGUGAAGGAACUAGGCAAAAUGGUGCCGUAACUUCGGGAGAAGGCACGCUGAUAUGUAGGUGAAGUCCCUCGCGGAUGGAGCUGAAAUCAGUCGAAGAUACCAGCUGGCUGCAACUGUUUAUUAAAAACACAGCACUGUGCAAACACGAAAGUGGACGUAUACGGUGUGACGCCUGCCCGGUGCCGGAAGGUUAAUUGAUGGGGUCAGCGCAAGCGAAGCUCUUGAUCGAAGCCCCGGUAAACGGCGGCCGUAACUAUAACGGUCCUAAGGUAGCGAAAUUCCUUGUCGGGUAAGUUCCGACCUGCACGAAUGGCGUAAUGAUGGCCAGGCUGUCUCCACCCGAGACUCAGUGAAAUUGAACUCGCUGUGAAGAUGCAGUGUACCCGCGGCAAGACGGAAAGACCCCGUGAACCUUUACUAUAGCUUGACACUGAACAUUGAGCCUUGAUGUGUAGGAUAGGUGGGAGGCUUAGAAGUGUGGACGCCAGUCUGCAUGGAGCCGACCUUGAAAUACCACCCUUUAAUGUUUGAUGUUCUAACGUUGACCCGUAAUCCGGGUUGCGGACAGUGUCUGGUGGGUAGUUUGACUGGGGCGGUCUCCUCCUAAAGAGUAACGGAGGAGCACGAAGGUUGGCUAAUCCUGGUCGGACAUCAGGAGGUUAGUGCAAUGGCAUAAGCCAGCUUGACUGCGAGCGUGACGGCGCGAGCAGGUGCGAAAGCAGGUCAUAGUGAUCCGGUGGUUCUGAAUGGAAGGGCCAUCGCUCAACGGAUAAAAGGUACUCCGGGGAUAACAGGCUGAUACCGCCCAAGAGUUCAUAUCGACGGCGGUGUUUGGCACCUCGAUGUCGGCUCAUCACAUCCUGGGGCUGAAGUAGGUCCCAAGGGUAUGGCUGUUCGCCAUUUAAAGUGGUACGCGAGCUGGGUUUAGAACGUCGUGAGACAGUUCGGUCCCUAUCUGCCGUGGGCGCUGGAGAACUGAGGGGGGCUGCUCCUAGUACGAGAGGACCGGAGUGGACGCAUCACUGGUGUUCGGGUUGUCAUGCCAAUGGCACUGCCCGGUAGCUAAAUGCGGAAGAGAUAAGUGCUGAAAGCAUCUAAGCACGAAACUUGCCCCGAGAUGAGUUCUCCCUGACCCUUUAAGGGUCCUGAAGGAACGUUGAAGACGACGACGUUGAUAGGCCGGGUGUGUAAGCGCAGCGAUGCGUUGAGCUAACCGGUACUAAUGAACCGUGAGGCUUAACCUU
This 2925-nucleotide ribosomal RNA is filed under the name Escherichia coli 53638. RNAcentral describes it as "bacterial LSU rRNA". It matches the Rfam family "Bacterial large subunit ribosomal RNA". The record is from RNAcentral. Lineage: Bacteria; Pseudomonadati; Pseudomonadota; Gammaproteobacteria; Enterobacterales; Enterobacteriaceae.